Molecule: unclassified non-coding RNA, 9050 nt
Filed under: Stegodyphus dumicola
Lineage: Eukaryota; Metazoa; Arthropoda; Arachnida; Araneae; Eresidae
Description: zinc finger protein 728-like, transcript variant X4
Source: RNAcentral
CAUUCUAGGGAGUAGUGUAGUGGUUUUGCGAAGAGGGUUGGGGAUCGGCGCAAGGGGGUGAAAUGUUGAAGACUCGGUCGCCAGAGCUGUAGCGCUUGGCCUCUUUAGGCCUCGCGUUUUUCCGCUCGAAAAGAACAUCAAACCGAUGGAAUUUCCCUCAGUUUCUUUCAUUACAACAACAACAUGCUACAUUAAUAUUUCUGAUGUAAGAAAAUAAAGGACAAGUCAAGAACAGCAUGGAGCAUUAAAUGAAGUAUGGAAGCUGAAAGCUCUGAGAGACGAUACAAUACCAGAUUCAGAGGGGUUCCAAGAUCCAUCUUCACCUAUUCUCGUUCUGGAAAGAAGUCAAGUACCAAAUCAAAUGAUGAAAAUCACUUGCGGACUGACAUCAGAGAUGAUUUUAUCUAUACAAAAUUGGGCAAAAAACCUAGUACAUAUGAUGCAGAAAUUGUCAGUCCAUCAAAAACAAAAAUUAAAAUUGAACCAUCACCCCUUCUUGUCAAAGCAGAAAAAAAACUGCCUAAAUCUGAACCAAGUUCUAAUAAUACCUUACCUAAUGGCACUCAUAAGCCAGCAGUUGAAGUCAAAGCAAUAUCAGAGCCCAAUGGUCCCCUUAAACCACCCAUUGAAGUCAAUGAAAUACAUGAACCUAAAGUUGAACAGAUUGAAGAGUCUUCCCCAGAAUUGUCUCCUAAGUUGGAAAAAGAAUUGGAUGGCGUUUUCUUUGAAGGGAAAGCCCCAGGUGCUGAAGAAAUUCAUUCCGCCUCAAAUAAUUCAAAAUCAUUAUGGAUCAUGUCAAAAGAAAAACUCAGUUGGAAUAAUUCUACCGUUGCUAGUUACAACCCUAAAACAAAAAUGUUCCGUUGUGUGGUGUGCCAAGCUGUGGGUUUCAUGUCCCGUAUUGGUGAGCAUUAUUUAGGUACCCAUUGUAAUGCUAAAGUUUUUCACUGUCCUCAGUGUUCAUAUUGCAGUGCAUGGUGGCGUUGUGUUCGAAACCACAUGAGUAAAAAUCAUGGAGUAUCUAAUGCACCUGCCUCUAUGUGGAAAAAUCAACCUCUCUUAGAUGAAAUAAUGCAGAUCUUGCAAAAUUUGAAGUACAGUGUUGACUGUGAGGAUAGAGUUGAGCGAGUUGCGGAGAAUUGUGGAAAGCGAUAUAUAUGCCCUAAAUGUCCGUAUGCAACUGACAGAAGAGAUCUCUAUAAUCGUCAUGAAAAUAUCCAUCGUGAAGAAAAACCAUUUCAGUGUUAUAUUUGUUAUAAAUUGUUUAAUCGUGCUGAUCAUGUUAAAAAACAUUUCUGUCGUAUACACAAAGAAUUCAGUUAUGAUAUAAAUUUAAUCCGACGUCUGCCUUCAAAACGUAGUCGAAUUCCUGUGAGUCCCUCUCUUAAUGGUGGAAGUUCUGGGUUAAAUCAUGAUGCGAAUUUAUCUUCAAAUUCAAUAAAUGAUGCAGCUUCUAAACCUUUACCACUGACAGUUCCAGUUACACAAUCUCAUUUAUUAAAUUGUUUAACUGGGUCACCUACAAUGGUAAAAGUAACUAGAGAAAUUGAUCAUAUGCCAGAUAUUCCAGCAAAAGAAGCAAAAAUAGCUGAAAGCAAGAAUGAUAACACAUUCAACAAAUCGCACAGCAACUUAUUGACAUUUUUAACACAGAAUGCUUUUUCACCAAAGCCAAUUAAACCAACCCCAGUGAGAAAUACAGAUACUCCUAUCAAAGAUAUAUUACAAGAAGCCUUACUGAAGCCUCCUGGUUUUACGUCAUUUCAGAGCAGUCAACCAAAGAAGUAUAAUUGCCCUUAUUGUCCAUGGACUGGUCCUAAUGCAUGGGCAUUGCGUAUCCACACCUCAAUGCAUUACAAAACAUUCUGUGUACUGUGCAACUUCAAAUCAAGCGAAGUUAGUGAUUUGGAGAACCACAUGUGGGAGUGUCAUAAGAAGAGGUCUUGCAAUAAGUGCAAUUUUCUAGCUGACAGUCUUUUAGCUUUAGAUGUCCACAUGAAGGAUGUGCACCGUCAGAAGCCGCAGUUUUGUUGUCGCCAUUGUUCACAGACAUUUGAAGUACGAUCAGACAUGGAAGCUCAUUGCAUCUUUAUUCAUAAUCAAGUAUUACAAGAGUGUAAAGAAAAUGGCUGUGAUUUUUGCACAACAGAUCCUGAUGUCCUUGAAGUUCAUAAGAAAGAAAACCAUAGUUCAUCUUCUACAUCUCAAGAUACGAGUGCCUCUAGAACCCUGUGCCUCUACUGUGGAUGUGAUUUUGCUGAUCCUCAAUCACUCUCCUUACACGAAGAACUCUUUCAUGAAAAUCCUCUUCAAAAAGCUGGUCGGCGUCCACUAAAUCCGUAUUGUUGUUCAGUAUGUGGUUACUCAACUCCGAAGCAGCCAAUGAUGAUGGAGCACAUGAGAAUUCAUACCGGCCAAACACUACACUGUCAAGCUGGUGAGGGUUGUCAGUUUGAUACUCCAUAUGAUACAGUUCUCAGGGAACAUGUGCUGCAGAGUCACAGUAAUGACGAUGGUAUAGUCAGGUGUCCUCACUGUGGCUUCCGCUGUAGCACAAGAUUUUCAUUUGUUACUCAUUAUAAAGAACUCCAUCAUCCAUUUUGUUGUCAGCUGUGUGAGGAUGUUGAGCACAAGCAUUUUGUAUUACCCUUCACAACUUCUUAUUUGGAUUCUUCCAUCAAAGCUUUGUUUCCUUUUGCUAAAAAAGUUAGUUCAAAUUCAAAUGAGUGUUCAGAGAAAACAAAUGACGACAGCGGAAGACGUUCGCGCAAGCAGACACAGCCGAGAAAAGUUGUUGUACAUGAUGCGAGUACAGAAGGAUCUGUGGCAGGUGUUAAAGCAAGUGGUUCAUCUAAAACAAAAGUCAAGUGUUCUAGUUCCAGGAACCAAGAAAGAGAGAAAUUUUUAUCUUUGUAUGCAAAAAAAAUUAGAAAAAUAGCUCAAGCAUCUCUUUUAAAGUGUAGAUUGUGUGUCAAAUGUCCAAUAUAUUUUAGGCAUAAACGGAACUAUAUACUUCAUCUACAGUGGCAUAGUUUGAAAAAACAUCAGUGUAAUAAGUGCAUUCAAACAUUCUGCCAUCGUUAUCAGGUGCUUUUACAUCAGAGAGAACAUAUGGGAAAAGAGACCAAGGCCUCUUAGCAGAGAACUCUUAUGUACAUUUUACAAAAAAUUUAAUUUUUCUUGAUAUAUUGUCUGUGCAUUUUUUAGGGGUUUGAUGUAGUUAUGGUUUUUUUUAUGCAGUGCAAACAGCAACAGUGUUUGUUGCUGGAGCAGUUGUUUGUUCAGAGGAGGUGUAUUCCAUGGUGUGUGUGGUGUUAGUCAGCAGCUGGUAGUUGUUAUGUUUGCAUAAAAAAGAAAUUAAGAUGAAUGUGCACUGUUAAGUUUCAGUGAAAGGAUGUUUACUAUAUGCAUGUAUGUAUGUGUGUGUGUGUCAAUGUUAGGCAUGUGAUAAUUUCCAAGGUCCUGCUCCUAGCAAUUGUGAUAAUUUUCUGGCCUGGAAUUAAAAAGAAAAAGAAAACUAUCAUUUCUCCUAUAUAAAUGUAAAAUUAUAUAUAAAUUUAAAAAAAUUUAAUUAAGAAUUUAAAAUUUGAAUUUGUAUUUACACUUUGUACUCACUGCCAGCAGAACACUGUUCUGAUUGUAGCUGUGAUGUUGCUAAAAGCAUUGAUCAGAAAACCGGUGAAUUUAUGUGGGACUAAUAAAAUUACAAAUUGUUAGAAUUUUCUCCUGAAUAAAUUCUUGUUGAAGUUAAAAUUGUGAGUUUUUGAAAGUCUGUAGAAUAUGAUGUGUAAAAUUUGGAAUUGUGGUUUUAAGAUUUAAACGUUUCUUUUCUGAGAUACAUAAGACUGUAAAUCUUCUGCAGAUACAUGAGUUCCUCAAGCACUGCUCAUACUUUGUGUUUAAAAUGUAGACAUGGAAGUAUUUGAGAGAGAACACAACCAUAUCAGAUAUUUCACGUAUGCCAUAUUUUGUGCAUUUAUGCUUGCAUUCUACAAAAUGCGAGAUUAUUAACACUAUUAAUACUCAUGGUUUCUGGGUCCAAAUAUUCAUGCAUUUUUGUGCUGCUAAUUGUAAUGUAUAUCUUUUUAGUUCAUUUUGGUAUAUUUUAAUUCUUGCUUAAAAGUGUUGAAUGAUAAAAAGUGAUUGUAUCACGUAUAUCGCUAGGAAUAGCAUCGCUUCUGUAGUGUUGCUUUUUUCUAAAGCAGUGUUUCCUGAACUAUUUUUAAUCAUUGAAUGUUGAGUUUAAAAUUUAUUAAAUUAAUUAUAUAAAACUGUUGAAUUACAAUAAUUUUAUUCUUAUUAAGAGAAAUACUUAUACAAGUAAAAUUAUUAAAGUUAUGUUAAAUUAUUAGUGCUUAAUGAAUGUGGGAAAUAAUAAAAGUGAAGAAAUAUGCACAUUAUUUGAAAUGGUUGAAGAAUAUUAAAGAAUGAACCAUCAAAUUUUAUUAUUUAUAUUAUUCAGUUGGUUUGAAUAAAGGUAUUUUUAAACAGAAAUAAUUUGAAAAGCAGGAGUAUGUUAAGUUUUUUUGAGGGGAGGGUGACAGAAUAUUUGUUAUCCUAUAAACAGAGUAAGAUUUAUGAUUGCAGCUUUCAUUUAUGAAAUAUGAAAUAUAGUUUAGGAAAUGUUGUUUUGACGUGUUAGAAAUUUUUUUUUUUUUUUUUUUUGCUUCAAAUAAAGUUAAUGGUUUUCAGUAUUUUGAAUUUUUGUAGUCUGUAAAAGAUUAAUGUGCUUUUUUUUUUUUUUUUUUUUUUUUUCCCCAUCUUAUUUGCAUGAGAUUUGAUCACAUUUCACUUAGAAUGGCAUCAUCUGCUUCUGUUAUGUUUCUACAAAAUUUUAGAUAUCUAUACAUGUUAAAUUUUUAUUAUAAAUUUAACUCUUUCUGAACAGAAAGCAGAAGUAUUUCAUUCUUUUUCCGGUGAAUCAAAACCAGUGCUGUUUAUGCAUCUUUAAAAAAUUGCUUGUGUUAUACAUAAAAACUGCUAAUUUAUAUACAUUUUUCCUUUAAAAGAUUAAAUUCAUAUUGCAUUCAUAAAAAUGCCAAGUAGUUUUCUCAGUGCUAUAUGGGUAUCCAGUGUUUUCUGCUUCAUUAUUAUUUGUACUUGCAAUGUGAAAGCUUCAAGUAUAAUAUCAAAAUCAUGAAAUUUAGUUUGUUUUUAUCAAAAAGAGUCAAAUCAAAUAUUUUUAUUUAUACUUUGAAUUUCUUGUUUUAUGUUGAGCAUUUUCCCUGUGAAUUAAAAAUUUUAUUGCUUUUUUGUUAAAUGGCUUUAGCUGAUCUGUAUUAUGUAUUUUUAUAUACAAAGCUUGAAAAUCAAAUCUAAUGUGCAAUUAGCUUAUUUCAUAUUAUUUAUUAUUUCUUUUAAUAUAUAUAAACUUUUUUCUCUUUUACAACUUUUAUUAACUUCAACAACGAAUAUUAUUAAAUAUAUGGAAAGCAAUAAGUUUUGAUUUGCGCAUCCUAAGUAUUAGGUUAGAAAAGAAAAAAAGUGUUUAAUGGUUUUAUGAUAGUAGAAGCUUUCAUCAUGGAUUUUUAAAUAUGUGAUGAUAAUCACUAAUUUGUUGUUCUAAAUACAUAUCUGGCUUACCACUUCAUUUUUUAAAUGAAAUAUUUUUCAAUGUUUAAGAUUUACUUCUUGUACUUUCAUUACUUCCUUACUGAUCUUAUGGACUCAAAUGUUUUCUGAAUGAACUAUUUUUACAUUGGUUCAUAGAAAAGUUUCCUGAUUUAAAAAAAAUAUCUUAACUCUGCAAAACAUGUUGUUUAAUAUUAUUAUUGCUGAUCUUUAAAAUAAACUCUACAAGCCGACACUAUAUACUCACAAAAUGUGUAUAAAAAUGUAAAUUGACUGCAAAGUAGACUUGUUUAUUGAACACCUAGAUUUUUAUAGGGCAUUGUACUACCUCGUUGAAACAUAGUGUAGUUUAUAAAUUCUACAGUUCUAGCUUUUUUUUUUAGAUUUUGGAGCUUAAUAAUUGAGAGAAAAUAUGUAUUUUUCAUUUUGUCAACAAUGCUAGAUAGAAAAUAUUUCAUCAGGCACUUAGAACAAUUUAUAUUUACAUUGCCAGAUAUUUUUUGAAUAUGUGUAUGUUGAACGUUAAUAUUUCCAAUUUGGAUGUAAUGUAUACCAAAUUAAACUGAAAAAGUAGCAAAUUUCAUAUGCAUAAUUCACAAUAUUUUGUUGUGACCAGUUUUAUUUUAAAUAUAUAAGAAAUACUUAUAAUACAAGUAGUUUAUGCUGAGUUUUUAUAAGUGUUUAAUUCUAGUAUAAUACUUUGUGUGCCCAAAAUUUGUUUUGACUACAGAUCACCAAACAAUCUGCUAAAUUUAAAGAUUACCAUUUCCAUUUUUGGUUAAAAUUUCAUUAUUUGAUUACUUUGUAUUUGCAAUAUGUAAAUUUUGUUGUAAAGAUGUUUUUUAUUUUGUCUCAUAUUUCACAAAAAAACACCGCUUCAGUAGUUUUAAAGAGUAUAUGAGUUAUGACUUGGGAAGGGAAGAUUAUUAAGUUGUGUAACUGAGUUAUUUUAAUGAAAUUUAAAGUUUUGCAUUCAGUCUUAAACUUGAAAAAUUCUGGCAUUGCAAAGUAUUAUUUAUUUAUUUAUUUAUUUAUUUUCAGUUAUUUAUAUUCAGGUAGUUAUUGGGUUCAUUUUGAUUGUCCACACCUUUACUGAAAAGUUACAAAAAGUAUUCUUAAGCAAAGCAGUAUAGCACCAAAAUAGUUAUGUGGCAACCAACAGUGUCACCAAAAAGUAUUUCUUUGGCAACCCACAUAGUCUAUCUUGGAUAGUUUGCAGUGUUGAAAUUUUAUGCCCAAUUAAUUUAUAGUUGGAUUGGAUUAGCCAAGUUUAUAGAAUUCUGAGAACUUUUUUUUAGCAAAGACUGAUUGCUGUGUAUAUGGGAAAAACAACAGCACAAAAAAGAACAAUUUCUUGAAAGAAAAAAAAAUGUGUUUUAUUAUCAUUGCAUUUCACUUUUAAGGUUUUAUUGAUUGAUUGCUCUUGUAUGGAAUUCUUAGUGCACCAUCAUUUUGUAAAUUGCUGUUGCCUUUUGCAUAUUAGCUUGGCAAAAAUUAGUCUCUAGUGAGUUUACAAAUGUUCUUAUAUUCUGACAUGUUUGUCUCUUCAGUGGGGGUACAGGUAAUCGGGAAAACAAAUUGGUUAUUGUUCUAAUAUGUGCAAUAUUUAGGAAUUUUUAUGCAUGCUAUUACAUUUACAUGAUAAUUACUGAAAACAAUUUCAGAAAUAUGUGGAGAAAGGUCAGUAAAAAUAUUUAAGGUUUGGAAAGAAUUAGUGAUCAAAUUCUCCAGAGAAUCGUUGAUGUCAGAUUGUAUACAGAUUUACUGUUUGUUCGAUUUAAAUAUUGAAAUGCAUCAUGUAUAUAUUUAUUUUACAGUGUGUUGCAAGUUCUUUGUAAUUUCCUUAUCAGAACUAAAAGAAAUAUGAUUAUACUUUCCAGAUGAAAUUUAUAGUGCACUUCAGUGUAAGAGUGUGGAACAAACUUCCAGGUGGGGAAUGGUAAUAAAGAUAUUUUGGCAUCCCCUCACUGCAUAACAUAGAUAACUUUAUAUAUGGGCCACUUUUCCCCAUUAAUCCAUCUUAUUUUCUUAUCAGAUUUUAUGAAGAUUUAGGUUAUUCUAAAAGUCAGCUGUAAUUUUAAAUAAUUGUUUUCAAUGUAACGUGUGUGUCUUAAGACAACUGCAGUGAUUCCAAAUAAUUUGAUCUUCUGUUGAGAUAGUCAUUUAAGGAACGUAAUUGUUGUUGGUGAUGAAGUGGCAAUUUAUUCAUUGCAUCAAGAAAUGUUAUCUAUAUAUUGACUUACAUUUUUUUUUGUGAUGGUAAAUUAUUAUUAUGCUACAUACAACAAAGUAUGUCAAGCAAGAACUUCAGUAAAAUAAUAAUAACAUUCCAUAAUGCUGGAUAUUCAAAGCAAAUAGCAGAGGUGUUAUAUCAAAAACUGUUUUAAUUCUGUGUUAUUCCAUGAAGUAACUUUCUGUAUCAAAUUUUCAUCAGGUGCAACUAAGAGCUGUUCAUAGUAUGGUUUAUCUGAACCAAGAGAGUAUUCCAUAUAUCAACUAGCUCUACUAUAUGUGUGAAAUUCAGAUUUUUCAACUGUUCCAGAUGUCUAGCAAGAACAGCCCUUUAGAUGUGUUCAAGAAAUCAAAAAGUCAAAACCUCUUGUGACUCAUCCCAACAACUAUCAUUGGCUUAGGCUAUGGGCACUUUGUAGGUAAGAGCUCAUUUGCCUAGUCCCUUUCUGAUUGUAAAGGAGAUUCUGGGAUGGGAAAUCCAAGGGUCUUGCGUACUCUAAUUCCUACCAUUAACCUCUUGAGAGGAAUUUUGCCUGGAUCGCAUUUUAAAUGCCCCUAUUGUGCAAAGACAUGUAUUAAUUAUUAAUAAACAUCCAUGCCUUCUGUUAUAAAUUCGAGCCAGAAACUAUAGCAGAUCUGGCAAUUUAAUAAUUUAUUUUCUGGGGAAUUAAAUUAAAAAAAAUAGUUCAGGAAAUUGAUUGCAGUAUAUAAUAUUAUUGAAACAAAAUAAAUUGACUAAAAUAAACAUAAAUCUUUAAUUGUAGUGGAAAAUGUAUGCAAACUGUUUACUAAUUAUUAAAUUGACUUUUUUUACUGAAUUAUUUGCUGCACAGAAUAUUCAAAAUCCAAGCAUAGCUCUUCUGUGCUAGCAUCCAAACAAUAAUAAUUCAGGAUUUAGCAGGGUACUAAAUGUUUUCAUUACAUAGUGGAUGGAGAACAGCACGGGGGGAUGGGUCAGAGGGUCUCCAACCCCUUCCACCAAACCACAUGAGAGGACUUUUGAAUCGCCGCAUAAAUUUACAAACAUCCAUGACUUCUCUGGGGGUUUGAACCUGGGCCCUUUGGCAUAGCAGUCAGCAAUGCUAACCACCAUACUGGUUGGACCGCAGCUACAUUAUAUGGACACUUUGUAUUGUUUGUGUGUCUGUUUAGUGUUUUACCUUUUUUUUUUUAGAGGUCACUGAAUUGCUGCUAAUAUGAAAUAAAUAAAACAUUCAAACAAAAAAAAAAAAAAAAUUUUUUUUUGG